GAUGAAGAACGUAGCGAAAUGCGAUAAGUAAUGUGAAUUGCAGAAUUCAGUGAAUCAUCGAAUCUUUGAACGCACAUUGCGCCCCUUGGUAUUCCGAGGGGCAUGCCUGUUCGAGCGUCAUUUCAACCCCUCAAGCUUCGGCUUGGUGUUGGGCCGCGCCGCUGCACCAGCAGCUGGCGGGCCUCAAAAUCAGUGGCGGUGCCGUCUCGGCUCUAAGCGUAGUAACAUCUCUCGCUCUGGAGACCUGGCGGUGGCUUGCCAGACAACCCCCAACUUUCUUUAAGGUUUGACCUCGGAUCAGGUAAGGAUACCCGCUGAACUUAAGCAUAUCAAUAAGCGGAGGA
This 344-nucleotide unclassified non-coding RNA is filed under the name soil metagenome. RNAcentral describes it as "partial contains 5.8S ribosomal RNA, internal transcribed spacer 2, and large subunit ribosomal RNA". The stretch from base 1 to 120 matches the Rfam family "5.8S ribosomal RNA", at positions 35 to 154 of the family's 154-position model. The record is from RNAcentral.